GACGAACGCUGGCGGCGUGCUUAACACAUGCAAGUCGAACGGAAAGGCCCUGCUUUUGUGGGGUGCUCGAGUGGCGAACGGGUGAGUAACACGUGAGUAACCUGCCCUUGACUUUGUGAUAACUUCAGGAAACUGGGGCUAAUACCGGAUAGGAGCUCCUGCUGCAUGGUGGGGGUUGGAAAGUUUCGGCGGUUGGGGAUGGACUCGCGGCUUAUCAGCUUGUUUGUGGGGUAGUGGCUUACCAAGGCUUUGACGGGUAGCCGGCCUGAGAGGGUGACCGGCCACAUUGGGACUGAGAUACGGCCCAGAAUCCUACGGGAGGCAGCAGUGGAGAAUAUUGCACAAUGGGCGGAAGCCUGAUGCAGCAACGCCGCGUGCGGGAUGACGGCCUUCGGGUUGUAAACCGCUUUCGCCUGUGACGAAGCGUGAGUGACGGUAAUGGGUAAAGAAGCACCGGCUAACUACGUG
This 468-nucleotide ribosomal RNA is filed under the name uncultured bacterium. Its description in RNAcentral is "partial 16S ribosomal RNA". It matches the Rfam family "Bacterial small subunit ribosomal RNA", at positions 28 to 507 of the family's 1533-position model. The record is from RNAcentral.